This 424-nucleotide ribosomal RNA is filed under the name Verrucomicrobiota bacterium. Its description in RNAcentral is "Verrucomicrobia bacterium partial 16S ribosomal RNA". It matches the Rfam family "Bacterial small subunit ribosomal RNA", at positions 355 to 776 of the family's 1533-position model. The record is from RNAcentral. Lineage: Bacteria; Pseudomonadati; Verrucomicrobiota.
UGAGGAAUAUUGGUCAAUGGGCGAGAGCCUGAACCAGCCAAGUAGCGUGCAGGAUGACGGCCCUAUGGGUUGUAAACUGCUUUUACGCGGGGAUAAAGUUCGUGACGUGUCGCGCAUCGCAGGUACCGCGUGAAUAAGGACCGGCUAAUUCCGUGCCAGCAGCCGCGGUAAUACGGAAGGUCCGGGCGUUAUCCGGAUUUAUUGGGUUUAAAGGGAGCGCAGGCCGCCCGAUAAGCGUGUUGUGAAAUGUACCGGCUCAACCGGUGAGUUGCAGCGCGAACUGUCAGGCUUGAGUGCACGGUAAGCAGGCGGAAUUCAUGGUGUAGCGGUGAAAUGCUUAGAUAUCAUGAGGAACUCCGAUUGCGAAGGCAGCUUGCUGCAGUGCGACUGACGCUUAGGCUCGAAGGUGCGGGUAUCAAACAGG